GAGAAAUCACUUAAUAUCAGGCCCUCAGCCUCAGCUUCCUCACCCGGAAAAUGAGGGUAAUUCCUGCCUGAUUCUGACAAAAUGGAGGUCACCUAGAAACUUCAGUAGAGAGAAGCAGCUGCUGUGAGGAUGUUUGGGGAAACAACCUUUGAUGCUAGAGGAAUGAGUGGUAUGAGUGCCAAGAAUGUUUUCAGAGGAGCUAUCUCAUGAGCACUCUCGGGUUCAGUCAGCUCCCCAGAGCAGGAUUGGCACCAAAAGAGGGCUGGUCGUGAGGAGGGAAGGCAUGAAUUAGGGCAGACUUUCUGAAUUAGGGGUGCCAUGGCACCUGCAGAGCAGAGAGAGCCCACAGGCUGGGUUUGGAGCAACCAGCCCAACCCCUUAGUAGACUCUAGUCCACUCAGGCCACCUGCCCUUGGAAAUGCUGUCUGAAAUGGGAAACUUCUUCCCAAGGUAUCUUUUCUUCCCAAGAUAUCUUUCUAUUUCUUACCCCCUCUGCAGCUCCAAGGGAAAGAGGUGAAAUGGCCAAGCACAGGAGACCCAAGAGAGCUCAUUCUGUCAAGGCAUCCCUGCAAUUCACAGUGACACCUCUAGAAUGGGCCCUCAGUACUAGCAGAGAGUGGUUACUGACAAAUCCUCUCUCAUCUAUGCACUUCAGAAUUUUGGUCAGGGACUAGCUCUUUCCGAAUCCAUCAUUCUCAGCAUGAGGUGUAGAAGUGUUAGAGAGAGUGGAAAGGAGAGUGUGUUCUUAGGUGCAAAAUCAAUGGAGUUUGUGCACCUCAACUAGAUUGGUUUCCUUUUCCUUAUGAAGAAAGCAUAGAUUUAGUGCUGGGGAUGUGGCUCAAGCGUUAACGUGCUCGCCUGGCAUGUGCAGGGUGCUGGGUUUGAUCCUCAGCACCACAUAAAAAAUAAAAUAAAAUAAAGAUGUUGUGUCCACCGAAAACUGAAAAAUAAAUAUUAAAAAUUUCUCUCUUCUCUCUCUCUCUUAAAAAAAUUAGAAAGCAUAGAUUAAUAUUGUGUCUCAUCAUGCAUUUCACACAGUGCCUUGGGGAAACAGCCUGCAUGCAGAGGACCCACUCUGGAACAGGUAGGUUUCUAAGGAAACAUGGAGAUCUGAGUUUAAAGCUCUAGGAGACAUUUCCAACAAGGGGCUGAAAAUUUGAAAAUAUUGGCCAGGAUUCACUGUUUUUGUGCAAGAUGGUUUUUCAAAGAGAUCUGAGAGAUAUUACCAUGGCUUUCUGAGGCCUUGCCAUGACACCUGGUUUCAGUAUGUGUUCCGGGGGUGCUGGAGCAUAUUGGAAGGAAACAUAGUAACACCGCUACAUUCCCUAGCCAGUCAUUGAAAAGAAUC
Molecule: long non-coding RNA, 1348 nt
Filed under: Marmota monax (woodchuck)
Lineage: Eukaryota; Metazoa; Chordata; Mammalia; Rodentia; Sciuridae
Source: RNAcentral